This 1065-nucleotide long non-coding RNA is filed under the name Nicotiana benthamiana. RNAcentral describes it as "long non-coding RNA (NBEN_LNC036247)". Lineage: Eukaryota; Viridiplantae; Streptophyta; Magnoliopsida; Solanales; Solanaceae. The record is from RNAcentral.
GGUAAGGUCUGCGUACAUACUACCCUCCCCAGACCCCACUAAGUGGGAUUAUACUGGGUUGUACUUUUUUUUUUAAUAUAGCUCAGCAUAAGGAAUGCGCCAUAUGGCAUAAGUUCCACGAGGGUAACGGUAAUACUACAAAGUGUUCAGUAGUUAAGUGUUAACAGAGCAUAUUGAUUCUUAGACCUUGAAUUAUCAACCCAGCUUUCUUCAAACAGAUAGUAAACAUAUAUCCACAGCACUCACCAUUAUUACCAGACUAUCGAAAAGCCUCUCUAAUAUCAGGUACCAAUUACCAGACUAUGUUGCUAGAACUCUGAAAAUGUUGCAGGGUGCGUGUCGGAUAUUUUUGGAGGAUCCCACACGGGUACGGCAUCAUCUUGGAAAGUCCGCUCAACAUAGUUAUCAGAAGAGAAUCUGUUAUUUAAACAUUGACUCAUCAAUUAGUUAAGAGGAGCAUAAAUUAGCAAUGCAUCUGGGAGCACAAUUACCAUUUUAUUUUAUUGAUAGGUUUAAGUAUACCAAAAGUAGUAGAAAGCAAUUCAGAUUUGAACUCGUGAAACAAUAAUUUGAACUGUAACUUCUAAGAACUAUACCCUCCGCUUAGAGAUGAUUAGCCGAAAAUUUACCUUAGAAAAACUUCAAGUAACUAUUGUGAGGGAAAGACUUAAUCCGCCAGCUUAAGUUCAACAAUAUUGGUCUUGUUUUACACGAUCGCAGUUCUGAUGAAAGACAUAUCUAUAUUUUAAUCUACGACUGACACAAGUUCAUUGAGUUUAACAGUUCAAAAUCCGAAAAAGAACAUGUAUAAAUGCAAGUGAAAUUGAACUGACUUUGAUAAGAAAGUGAUGGACCUUGUUCAUAUUCCAAUCGUUGGAUUUGGCGAUUGACCAAAACAAACAGAUAUUCGAUGCCGACGGCCGGUUUGGCCAAUGAGUUCUCCGCCCUCCGGCUUCUAUUUGUGUUUCUGAUUCAUUGUCUACCUAUUCGAUUUUCCUUUAUUCUCUUCCGUUUCCUAUUGUUGUUUCCAAAAUCCAAACCGAGAGAUUUAGGGGCCAUUUGGCC